Molecule: ribosomal RNA, 294 nt
Filed under: uncultured bacterium
Lineage: Bacteria
Description: partial 16S ribosomal RNA
Rfam family: Bacterial small subunit ribosomal RNA
Source: RNAcentral
AGGAUGGACCCGCGGUGCAUUAGUUAGUUGGUGAGGUAAAGGCUCACCAAGACCGUGAUGCAUAGCCGACCUGAGAGGGUAAUCGGCCCACACUGGGACUGAGACACGGCCCAGACUCCUACGGGAGGCAGCAGUAGGGAAUCUUCCACAAUGGACGAAAGUCUGAUGGAGCAACGCCGCGUGAGUGAAGAAGGUUUUCGGAUCGUAAAACUCUGUUGUUGGAGAAGAAUGUAUCUGAUAGUAACUGAUCAGGUAGUGACGGUAUCCAAUCAGAAAGCCACGGCUAACUACGUG